CUACGGAGGGUGCAAGCGUUACUCGGAAUCACUGGGCGUAAAGCGCGCGCAGGCGGCUUGAUAAGUUGGAUGUGAAAGCCUACGGCUCAACCGUAGAACUGCAUCCAAAACUAUUAGACUAGAGUGUGGGAGAGGAAGAUGGAAUUAGUUGUGUAGGGGUAAAAUCCGUAGAGAUAACUAGGAAUACCAAAAGCGAAGGCAAUCUUCUGGAACACUACUGACGCUGAGGCGCGAAAGCGUGGGGAGCAAACAGGAUUAGAUACCCCAGUAGUCC
RNAcentral lists this ribosomal RNA (274 nucleotides) under uncultured bacterium. Its description in RNAcentral is "partial 16S ribosomal RNA". It matches the Rfam family "Bacterial small subunit ribosomal RNA", at positions 523 to 796 of the family's 1533-position model. The record is from RNAcentral.